AGAGUUUGAUCAUGGCUCAGGAUGAACGCUAGCGGCAGGCUUAACACAUGCAAGUCGAGGGGCAGCACAGGGAGCAAUCCUGGGUGGCGACCGGCGGAAGGGUGCGUAACGCGUGAGCAACUUGCCCGUAUCUGGGAGAUAACCGAUGGAAACGUCGACUAAUAUCCCAUAACACAUUUUGUGGCAUCGCAGGAUGUUAAAAGAGAAUCGGAUACGGAUAGGCUCGCGUGACAUUAGCUAGUUGGAGUGGUAACGGCACACCAAGGCGACGAUGUCUAGGGGUUCUGAGAGGAAGGUCCCCCACACUGGAACUGAGACACGGUCCAGACUCCUACGGGAGGCAGCAGUGAGGAAUAUUGGUCAAUGGGCGAAAGCCUGAACCAGCCAUGCCGCGUGAAGGAAUAAGGCCCUAUGGGUCGUAAACUUCUUUUGACGGGGAGCAAUAAGGUCUACGUGUAGGCCGAUGAGAGUACUCGUCGAAUAAGCAUCGGCUAACUCCGUGCCAGCAGCCGCGGUAAUACGGAGGAUGCGAGCGUUAUCCGGAAUUAUUGGGUUUAAAGGGUGCGUAGGCUGUUUGUUAAGUCAGGGGUGAAAUACCGCAGCUCAACUGUGGAAUUGCCUUUGAUACUAGCAGGCUUGAAUACUGUUGCCGUGGGAGGAAUGAGUAGUGUAGCGGUGAAAUGCAUAGAUAUUACUCAGAACACCGAUUGCGAAGGCAUCUCACGAAGCAGGCAUUGACGCUGAGGCACGAAAGCGUGGGGAUCAAACAGGAUUAGAUACCCUGGUAGUCUACGCCGUAAACGAUGAUUACUAGGUGUCGGGGGUUAUGAACCUUCGGUGCCGCAGCAAACGCAAUAAGUAAUCCACCUGGGGAGUACGUUCGCAAGAAUGAAACUCAAAGGAAUUGACGGGGACCCGCACAAGCGGUGGAGCAUGUGGUUUAAUUCGAAGCAACGCGAAGAACCUUACCAAAUCUUGACAUCUCCCUGACAGAGUAUGUAAUGUACUUUCUCUUCGGAGCAGGGAUGACAGGUGGUGCAUGGUUGUCGUCAGCUCGUGUCGUGAGAUGUUGGCUUAAGUGCCAUAACGAGCGCAACCCUUGUCGUUAGUUACCAUCAAGUAAAGUUGGGGACUCUAACGAGACUGCCACCGCAAGGUGAGAGGAAGGCGGGGAUGACGUCAAAUCAGCACGGCCCUUACGUCCGGGGCGACACACGUGUUACAAUGGCGGUCACAGAGGGAAGCUACCCUGCGAAGGGAUGCAGAUCUCGAAAAGCCGUCUCAGUUCGGACUGGAGUCUGCAACUCGACUCCACGAAGCUGGAUUCGCUAGUAGUCGCGCAUCAGCCAUGGCGCGGUGAAUACGUUCCCGGGCCUUGUACUCACCGCCCGU
This 1392-nucleotide ribosomal RNA is filed under the name uncultured bacterium. RNAcentral describes it as "bacterial SSU rRNA". It matches the Rfam family "Bacterial small subunit ribosomal RNA". The record is from RNAcentral.